This 165-nucleotide ribosomal RNA is filed under the name uncultured bacterium. Its description in RNAcentral is "partial 16S ribosomal RNA". It matches the Rfam family "Bacterial small subunit ribosomal RNA", at positions 1336 to 1500 of the family's 1533-position model. The record is from RNAcentral.
UAGUAAUCGCGGAUCAGCAUGCCGCGGUGAAUACGUUCCCGGGCCUUGUACACACCGCCCGUCACACCAUGGGAGUCGGUAACACCCGAAGCCUGUAGUCUAACCGCAAGGAGGACGCAGUCGAAGGUGGGAUUGAUGACUGGGGUGAAGUCGUAACAAGGUAUC